RNAcentral lists this small nucleolar RNA (177 nucleotides) under Rasamsonia emersonii CBS 393.64. RNAcentral describes it as "Small nucleolar RNA snR80". It matches the Rfam family "Small nucleolar RNA snR80". Lineage: Eukaryota; Fungi; Ascomycota; Eurotiomycetes; Eurotiales; Trichocomaceae. The record is from Rfam by way of RNAcentral.
CGACCUUUGCGACACUCUGGCCGAUACCAUCCAUUCCCGUUCUGGGAUUGGAGCUGUACCCCACGGUAUCGGCUUAUUUUGUGCAAAGAAGAUUGAAACAGACCGCUUACUCACCGCGGUAUCCUUUGAGGUUCGCUUCCCUCGGUGGAUAUGGCGGUCCAUCAUAUUGGUCGACAU